Molecule: ribosomal RNA, 119 nt
Filed under: Pteropus alecto (black flying fox)
Lineage: Eukaryota; Metazoa; Chordata; Mammalia; Chiroptera; Pteropodidae
Source: RNAcentral
GUCUAUGGCCAUGCUACCCUGAACAGUUCCGAUCCCGUCUGAUCUCCGAAACUAAGCAGGGUCGUUCCUGGUAAGUAUUUGGAUGGGAGACCACCUAGGAAGACCAGAUCCUGUAGGCA